AUACUCUGGUUUUUCUUUCAAUCAUAUAAAUAUUUUGCCUUUUGCUAAAGAUUUCCAUGGGGAACAUCCUUAAUUGAAGAAUUAACUUCAUUGACCAGAACUUAGUAGAAGAUCUU
Small nuclear RNA from Euleptes europaea (tarantolino), 116 nucleotides. RefSeq annotates it as U5 spliceosomal RNA. Lineage: Eukaryota; Metazoa; Chordata; Lepidosauria; Squamata; Sphaerodactylidae. The record is from RefSeq and is a predicted model, not a curated record. The transcript has a single exon.